GCGCUUGUAGCUCAGCUGGAUAGAGCGCUUCCCUCCUAAGGAAGAAGUCGGACGUUCGAAUCGUCUCAAGCGCGCCA
RNAcentral lists this transfer RNA (77 nucleotides) under Erysipelotrichia bacterium. RNAcentral's name for it is "tRNA-Arg". It matches the Rfam family "tRNA". From Rfam's summary of the family: Transfer RNA (tRNA) molecules are approximately 80 nucleotides in length. Their secondary structure includes four short double-helical elements and three loops (D, anti-codon, and T loops). Further hydrogen bonds mediate the characteristic L-shaped molecular structure. tRNAs have two regions of fundamental functional importance: the anti-codon, which is responsible for specific mRNA codon recognition, and the 3' end, to which the tRNAs corresponding amino acid is attached (by aminoacyl-tRNA synthetases). tRNAs cope with the degeneracy of the genetic code in two manners: having more than one tRNA (with a specific anti-codon) for a particular amino acid; and 'wobble' base-pairing, i.e. permitting non-standard base-pairing at the 3rd anti-codon position. The record is from RNAcentral. Lineage: Bacteria; Bacillati; Bacillota; Erysipelotrichia.